RNAcentral lists this ribosomal RNA (389 nucleotides) under uncultured bacterium. Its description in RNAcentral is "bacterial SSU rRNA". It matches the Rfam family "Bacterial small subunit ribosomal RNA", at positions 334 to 740 of the family's 1533-position model. The record is from RNAcentral.
UACUCCUACGGGAGGCAGCAGUUAGGAAUCUUGCGCAAUGGGCGAAAGCCUGACGCAGCCAUGCCGCGUGAAUGAUGAAGGUCUUAGGAUUGUAAAAUUCUUUCAGCGGGGACGAUAAUGACGGUACCCGCAGAAGAAGCUCCGGCUAACUUCGUGCCAGCAGCCGCGGUAAUACGAAGGGGGCUAGCGUUGCUCGGAAUUACUGGGCGUAAAGGGCGCGUAGGCGGAUGUUUAAGUCAGAGGUGAAAGCCCAGGGCUCAACCUUGGAAAUGCCUUUGAUACUGGACAUCUUGAGUAUGGGAGAGGUGAGUGGAACUCCGAGUGUAGAGGUGAAAUUCGUAGAUAUUCGGAAGAACACCAGUGGCGAAGGCGACUCACUGGCCCAUUAC